RNAcentral lists this small nucleolar RNA (132 nucleotides) under Dasypus novemcinctus (nine-banded armadillo). Its description in RNAcentral is "Small nucleolar RNA SNORA42/SNORA80 family (ENSDNOG00000026911.1)". It matches the Rfam family "Small nucleolar RNA SNORA42/SNORA80 family". From Rfam's summary of the family: The members of this family belong to the H/ACA class of snoRNAs that guide the sites of modification of uridines to pseudouridines. Human ACA42 (SNORA42) was cloned from HeLa cells by immunoprecipitation with anti-GAR1 antibody. The record is from RNAcentral. Lineage: Eukaryota; Metazoa; Chordata; Mammalia; Cingulata; Dasypodidae.
GCAUGGGUUUAGAUUUAUGGCAGGCCCUUCUCCUUGAUCUCUCAUAGUGUUCCAUACUAGAACAAACUAGCCCUGAACCGUUGCCCGGCCUCCUUGUUCGUAGGCUUCAGCAUUGAAGUGGGUUUCACAGUG